AAGUUAGUGGCGAACGGGUGAGUAAUGUAUGAGCAACCUGCCUCUGUCAACGGGAUAACAGUUGGAAACGACUGCUAAUACGGUAUAUGACCACGGCACCGCAUGGUGCUGCGGUAAAAGAUUUUAUCGGACAGAGAUGGGCUCAUAUCCCAUUAGGUAGUUGGUGAGAUAACAGCCCACCAAGCCGACGAUGGGUAGCCGAGCUGAGAGGCUGAUCGGCCACAUUGGGACUGAAACACGGCCCAGACUCC
Molecule: ribosomal RNA, 251 nt
Filed under: uncultured bacterium
Lineage: Bacteria
Description: partial 16S ribosomal RNA
Rfam family: Bacterial small subunit ribosomal RNA
Source: RNAcentral